RNAcentral lists this non-coding RNA (27 nucleotides) under Mus musculus (house mouse). Lineage: Eukaryota; Metazoa; Chordata; Mammalia; Rodentia; Muridae. The record is from RNAcentral.
UGAGGAUCCCCUAGGCAAUGACUCUGG